GUCCCUGUAGCGCAAUAGCUAGCGCGUUGGAUUUCUAAUCCCAAGAGCGUGGGUUCGAAUCCCACCUGGGUUG
Trichonephila clavipes is the source of this 73-nucleotide non-coding RNA. Lineage: Eukaryota; Metazoa; Arthropoda; Arachnida; Araneae; Nephilidae. The record is from the annotation of a GenBank genome assembly.